GACGAACCGAGCGAACGUUAUUCGGAAUAACUGGGCUUAAAGGGCGCGUAGGCGGGCGAUCAAGUCAGGGGUGAAAGCCCCCAGCUCAACUGGGGAAGUGCCUUUGAUACUGGUCGUCUCGAGGGAGGUAGGGGCGUGCGGAACUUCCGGUGGAGCGGUGAAAUGCGUAGAUAUCGGAAGGAACGUCGGUGGCGAAAGCGGCGCGCUGGACCUCUUCUGACGCUGAGGCGCGAAAGCCAGGGGAGCGAACGGG
RNAcentral lists this ribosomal RNA (253 nucleotides) under uncultured bacterium. Its description in RNAcentral is "partial 16S ribosomal RNA". It matches the Rfam family "Bacterial small subunit ribosomal RNA", at positions 524 to 776 of the family's 1533-position model. The record is from RNAcentral.